GUGCCAGCCGCCGCGGUAAUACCGGCAGCACGAGUGAUGGCCGAUUUUAUUGGGCCUAAAGCGUUCGUAGCCGGCCGGACAAGUCCGUUGGGAAAUCCACGCGCUCAACGCGUGGGCGUCCAGCGGAAACUAUCCGGCUUGGGGCCGGAAGACUCGAGGGGUACGUCCGGGGUAGGAGUGAAAUCCCGUAAUCCUGGACGGACCACCGGUGGCGAAAGCACCUCGAGAAGACGGCUCCGACGGUGAGGGACGAAAGCCAGGGUCUCGAACCGGAUUAGAAACCCCGGUAGUCC
This 293-nucleotide ribosomal RNA is filed under the name uncultured bacterium. RNAcentral describes it as "partial 16S ribosomal RNA". It matches the Rfam family "Archaeal small subunit ribosomal RNA", at positions 455 to 747 of the family's 1478-position model. The record is from RNAcentral.